AGCAGGUCUUUGAGCUUUGUUGAGCUGAAUUUGUAUUCUUAGAAGUUGGUUUGGAAGGUGUUCUAACCAAGGCGAGAGGGUAAUUGACCCUUGGACCGUCUUCGACUAGCAUUGGAGGGCCUUUUGGAAGCUUAACUUGAGCAGGGCUGAGGCCUAGUGGAGUUGAUUUCGGAACCCUCGUAAGCUGAUUUGAGCUUAG
Long non-coding RNA from Ananas comosus (pineapple), 199 nucleotides. RefSeq lists it as uncharacterized. The transcript is spliced from 3 exons. NCBI's taxonomy places the organism in Eukaryota, Viridiplantae, Streptophyta, Magnoliopsida, Poales, Bromeliaceae. The record is from RefSeq and is a predicted model, not a curated record.